RNAcentral lists this ribosomal RNA (497 nucleotides) under uncultured bacterium. RNAcentral describes it as "partial 16S ribosomal RNA". It matches the Rfam family "Bacterial small subunit ribosomal RNA", at positions 28 to 507 of the family's 1533-position model. The record is from RNAcentral.
GAUGAACGCUGGCGGCGUGCCUAAUACAUGCAAGUCGAGCGAACAGACGAGGAGCUUGCUCCUCUGACGUUAGCGGCGGACGGGUGAGUAACACGUGGAUAACCUACCUAUAAGACUGGGAUAACUUCGGGAAACCGGAGCUAAUACCGGAUAAUAUAUUGAACCGCAUGGUUCAAUAGUGAAAGACGGUUUUGCUGUCACUUAUAGAUGGAUCCGCGCCGCAUUAGCUAGUUGGUAAGGUAACGGCUUACCAAGGCAACGAUGCGUAGCCGACCUGAGAGGGUGAUCGGCCACACGGGAACUGAGACACGGUCCAGACUCCUACGGGAGGCAGCAGUAGGGAAUCUUCCGCAAUGGGCGAAAGCCUGACGGAGCAACGCCGCGUGAGGGAUGAAGGUCUUCGGAUCGUAAAACUCUGUUAUUAGGGAGGAACAAAUGUGUAAGUAACUAUGCACGUCUUGACGGUACCUAAUCAGAAAGCCACGGCUAACUACGUG